This 338-nucleotide ribosomal RNA is filed under the name uncultured bacterium. Its description in RNAcentral is "bacterial SSU rRNA". It matches the Rfam family "Bacterial small subunit ribosomal RNA", at positions 455 to 793 of the family's 1533-position model. The record is from RNAcentral.
AAUAGCAUAUUCAUUUGACGUUAGCUGCAGAAGAAGCACCGGCUAACUCCGUGCCAGCAGCCGCGGUAAUACGGAGGGUGCGAGCGUUAAUCGGAAUUACUGGGCGUAAAGCGCAUGCAGGUGGUUGUUAAGUCAGAUGUGAAAAGCCCGGGGCUCAACCUCGGAAUUGCAUUUGAAACUGGCAAACUAGAGUACUGUAGAGGGGGUAGAAUUUCAGGUGUAGCGGUGAAAUGCGUAGAGAUCUGAAGGAAUACCGGUGGCGAAGGCGGCCCCCUGGACAGAUACUGACACUCAGAUGCGAAAGCGUGGGGAGCAAACAGGAUUAGAUACCCUGGUAG